UGAGCAAUCUGCCCUUCUCAUCGGAAUAAGCGUUGGAAACGACGUCUAAUGCCGAAUACGACCUCCUUUCGCAUGAUCGGAGGUGGAAAGCUCCGGCGGAGAAGGAUGAGCUCGCGGCCUAUCAGCUAGUUGGUGUGGGUAAUGGCCCACCAAGGCGACGACGGGUAGCCGGCCUGAGAGGGUGACCGGCCACACGUGGGACUGAGACACGGCCCAGACCUCCGUAGGGAGG
This 232-nucleotide ribosomal RNA is filed under the name uncultured bacterium. RNAcentral's name for it is "partial 16S ribosomal RNA". It matches the Rfam family "Bacterial small subunit ribosomal RNA", at positions 118 to 347 of the family's 1533-position model. The record is from RNAcentral.